Molecule: long non-coding RNA, 1216 nt
Filed under: Homo sapiens (human)
Lineage: Eukaryota; Metazoa; Chordata; Mammalia; Primates; Hominidae
Description: HSALNT0302931
Source: RNAcentral
CAUGACAUUGGUUGAUGUAUCUCUUAUCUCUCUCUUUUUUUAAAAAAUCUUUGCAUUAUGGAAAGUUUCAAACAUAUACAAAGCAAACAGAAUAAUGUAUGUACUCUAUAUCUAGCUUCAACAAUGAUCAAUUGUCUAUCACUCUUACAUCAUCUAUACCUUCACCCACUCCCCAACUCAAUUGUUAUUUUUAACAGCUUUUUUUGAAGUAACGUGUAUUAGUUGUACAACUUUGACAAAUGGAUAUACUAAUGUAACCCACAAUGCUAUCAUGAACACAGGACAUUUUCAUCUCUCCAGAAGAUUGUCUCGUGUCUCUUACUCUUUCAGAGGCAAUCAGUGUUUUGAUUUUGUUUAACCUUAGAUUAGUGACUGUUCCACAACUUUAUACUCUUUUACAUCCAGCUGCUUCUCACUAUAAUAUCUGUGAGAUUUAUUCAUGUUGUUGGAUUAGUUUGUUUCUUUUCAUUGCUAUAACUACUACAAUAUAUUUAUUCUGUUGAGCUUAUUUAACACAUGUAUUUUCUCUAUAAGGCACAUCGCAGUCUUUUUGUGAUUAGGGACCCUAGGCAGCACUUUAUCACUACGCUCGAGAGUCAUUUUAAACAGUGAAAUCACCAACAAAAAGCAAAAAACAUGGCACUAAAUAGACUGCAAAAAAGAUGUUUAUUUACAGUAUGAGAGCUGAAACAAGUGGGUAGAGAGCACGACCUCAUCUGAGAACAUAUGCAUCAGGUGACUCAAUUUUUGGCCACUCUGUGAGUGUCCAUGAAUGACCACAACAGUAUUGAUUUUGAGGUUAUGAAUACCUUUUAGCGAUCAGGCAAAUUCACGAAUACUGAAUUCAUUAAUGAUGAGUAGCAACUGUACAUAUGUGUAUCAGCAUAUGUACAGAUGGUCCCUGACUUAUGAUGGCUUAACACAUGAUUUUUUAACGUUAUGGUGGUGUGAAAGCUAUACACAUUCAGUAGAGACCAUACUUUGAAUUUAAUAUCAACAAGUGUCUCUGCCCCAGUGCCUUCUACCAAUGAUUCUCCAGCCUCAUCAGAAGAGAGACAAAUUGAUGACCCUGUUGAUGUAGCAUCCUCAUCAUCCAGCAAUUAAUUUUAGUUCAAUACUUCAAACAUUCUUGAGGCCCAGUGUACUUUCAGCUGUGUGUGUUAAUGAUUCUAACAUCUAUUGUGUGUUAACUAUGUGUGAGGGAUAAUUCCACAAG